RNAcentral lists this transfer RNA (73 nucleotides) under Dictyocaulus viviparus (bovine lungworm). It matches the Rfam family "tRNA". From Rfam's summary of the family: Transfer RNA (tRNA) molecules are approximately 80 nucleotides in length. Their secondary structure includes four short double-helical elements and three loops (D, anti-codon, and T loops). The record is from Rfam by way of RNAcentral. Lineage: Eukaryota; Metazoa; Nematoda; Chromadorea; Rhabditida; Metastrongylidae.
GCUUCGGUAGUGUAAUGGAUCAACACGACAGAUCGGAUAUCUGUAAGUGCGAGUUCGAUUCCUACCUGAGGUU